CAAACAAACAAACAAACAAAACAAGUCAGGCAUAAAACAGAAUGGCUCCAACAUGCCGGAAGUUAAUUCCCCUUGGGUGAGUUCCGGUCUGGGUUGAGGAGACUUCCCCUAAGCACUUUCAAGGCCAGAUGUUCAUGUCAUGCCUUGGACCGCUGUCCUGCCUUCCAGGAUGAUUUCAGCUGGAAGCAUGGUCAGCGAGGGAGCAGUGACCCUAAUUUUCCUUCAAAGGCAGGACCCUGAAAAACAGUUUACUGCUUCUAAAGCCUCUCAUUGGCUAGAUAGCGAUCAUGUGAUCCUCAGAGCUGCGGGGAUCGCUGAAAAACAGCCUUUGAGGGCUCAUGCCUUCAGCCUGCACAGUGUUCUGAGGAAUAAAGGCGAGGGCCAGCCGGGAGCGACUUGUUUCCACUGUGUCAAGUACUUGGUGUCCAUUCAACUGAUAGCGCAUUAUGAAUCUUUCCACCCGCCACAUUGGCACUCAAACGAUACUAGUAAACCAGAAUUUAUUUCCCUAUUAAUAGAAAUAAAAGCCAACUACAAAAAAAAAAAAAAA
Molecule: long non-coding RNA, 550 nt
Filed under: Rattus norvegicus (Norway rat)
Lineage: Eukaryota; Metazoa; Chordata; Mammalia; Rodentia; Muridae
Description: long non-coding RNA NONRATT026721
Source: RNAcentral